CAACCCUCAGGACUCUUCGGAGAACUGGCGUUGGGGAUCAGCGUAGGCGCAGGUUUUACCUGCCAGCUGGCCCUGAAAUACAGUGGCGGUCUUGCUCUGACUCCCUUGCGUAGUAACUUACCUCGCCUGUGGAAGAUUGGCCUGAUCACGCCGUAAAACCCCUACUUUUUAAGG
This 174-nucleotide unclassified non-coding RNA is filed under the name uncultured Hypocreales. RNAcentral's name for it is "sequence contains ITS2". The record is from RNAcentral. Lineage: Eukaryota; Fungi; Ascomycota; Sordariomycetes; Hypocreales.